Molecule: ribosomal RNA, 782 nt
Filed under: uncultured Neocallimastigales
Lineage: Eukaryota; Fungi; Neocallimastigomycota; Neocallimastigomycetes; Neocallimastigales
Description: partial large subunit ribosomal RNA
Rfam family: Eukaryotic large subunit ribosomal RNA
Source: RNAcentral
GAGACUCUGUGCGCGUGCAUAUCAAUAAGCGGAGGAAAAGAAACUAACAAGGAUUCCCUUAGUAACGGCGAGUGAAGCGGGAAGAGCUCAAAUUUGAAAUCUUCAAGGUUCUACCUUGACGAAUUGUAGUUUAAAGAAGUGUUUUCUGUUAGAUGAGUAGCAAAAGUUCCUUGGAAUGGGACAUCAUAGAGGGUGAGAAUCCCGUAUUUGGUUAUUCAUUCUAGCUUUGUGAUACACUUUCAAAGAGUCGGAUUGUUUGGGAAUGCAGUCCAAAAUGGGUGGUAAAUUUCAUCUAAAGCUAAAUAUUGGCGAGAGACCGAUAGCGAACAAGUACCGUGAGGGAAAGAUGAAAAGAACUAACUUUGAAAAGAGAGUUAAACAGUACGUGAAAUUGUCAAAAGGGAAGCGUUUGACACCAGUGUUGUUUUUUCCAAAAAUCAAUUACGAAUGGCUUGAUUUUGUGUUGUAUUGACCUUAUCAGCUUUCUGCACUUUUUUCGAGUCUUUCUUAAUGCACUUUUUCGGUUAACAAGUCAACAUCAAUUUCUUUUGUUGUAAAAGAGUAUUCGGAAGGUGGCUUUCUUUUCGGAGAAAGUGUUUAUAGCCCUAUACUUCUACAAUCGGAGAGAUUGAGGUCUGCAGCGUAGAUCCUUCGGGGUUAGAUACACUUUGCUGCUAAGUUGUAGCUUUUCAUAGACAACUUGUUGACUAUGUUUAGUCAUGCGGCUUACUCGCUUGUGCUAUUUUACCUACGCUUAGGAUGUUGACUGAUAUGUAGUCGUA